UGGAUCAUAAGUCAUCCUACUUUGUCAGCAUUAUGUUUCUCUUUGUUAUGCGGUGGCUGCAUUUUGGUUUGGUUUGGUUUGUUGGGCACGGAGGAGGUGCUCCAUUCACUGGUAAUUUGGAGCUUGUAUAUAGUUGUAACGUUGUAGUAAGUGUCCUGCUUUGUAAACAUAGCUUGCUACUAUACCUACUAUAGCUUGCCACUCUGCUGUUUGAAAUUUGAAUAUGGACAUGCAUCCUGUCACAAAUAUAGUUGUUGACUUAAUAUAAGUACGGACCGAACAAGCAGACAGAAAUUAAUUUCUCGGUAUGUAUUUACAAACAUAGUUGGCAAUGUGUCCGACAACGUGGUCAGGAGAUCCAGAAGUAGUGAAUUACACAUCGAUGGCAGCACGCAUAGAUGUAUCUUUGUAAAUUG
This 416-nucleotide long non-coding RNA is filed under the name Setaria viridis. Its description in RNAcentral is "long non-coding RNA (SVIR_LNC007649)". The record is from RNAcentral. Lineage: Eukaryota; Viridiplantae; Streptophyta; Magnoliopsida; Poales; Poaceae.